GACGAACGCUGGCGGCGCGCUUAACACAUGCAAGUCGAACGGAAGGGGCCUGCUUUUGUGGGGUGCUCGAGUGGCGGACGGGUGAGUAACACGUGAGUAACCUGCCCUUCACUUUGGGAUAACUUCAGGAAACUGGGGCUAAUACCGGAUAGGAGCUCCUGCUGCAUGGUGGGGGUUGGAAAGUUUCGGCGGUUGGGGAUGGACGCGCGGCUUGUCGGCUUGCUGGUGGGGUAGUCGCUUACCAAGGCCUUGACGGGUAACCGGCCUGAGGGGGUUACCGGCCAGACAGGGACUGAGAGACGCACCAGACUGCUACGUGAGGCAGCAGGGGGGAAUAUUGCACAAUGGGCGGAAGCCUGAUGCAUCAACGCCGCGUGCGGGAUGACGGCCGGCGGGUUGUAAACCGCUUUCGCCUGUGACGAAGCGUGAGUGACGGUAAUGGGUAAAGAAGCACCGGCUAACUACGUG
This 468-nucleotide ribosomal RNA is filed under the name uncultured bacterium. RNAcentral's name for it is "partial 16S ribosomal RNA". It matches the Rfam family "Bacterial small subunit ribosomal RNA", at positions 28 to 507 of the family's 1533-position model. The record is from RNAcentral.